This 75-nucleotide transfer RNA is filed under the name Betaproteobacteria bacterium TMED100. RNAcentral describes it as "tRNA-Thr". It matches the Rfam family "tRNA". Rfam says of the family: Transfer RNA (tRNA) molecules are approximately 80 nucleotides in length. Their secondary structure includes four short double-helical elements and three loops (D, anti-codon, and T loops). Lineage: Bacteria; Pseudomonadati; Pseudomonadota; Betaproteobacteria. The record is from RNAcentral.
GCCGUUGUAGCUCAGGGGUAGAGCAGUCGCUUCGUAAGCGAGAGGUCGGGGGUUCAAUUCCCUCCAACGGCACCA